UGAGGAACAUGACCUUCGGCGGGGGAUAGCCGGCCCAACGGCCGGGUAAUACCGCGUACGACCACUCGGGGACAUCCCUAGGUGGUGAAAGCAGCAAUGCGCCGAUGGAGUGCCUCGCGGCCUAUCAGCUAGUUGGUGAGGUAACGGCUCACCAAGGCGACGACGGGUAGCUGGUCUGAGAGGAUGGCCAGCCACAGUUGGGACUGAGACACCGGCCCAGACCUCCGUACGGGAGCAG
This 238-nucleotide ribosomal RNA is filed under the name uncultured bacterium. RNAcentral's name for it is "partial 16S ribosomal RNA". It matches the Rfam family "Bacterial small subunit ribosomal RNA", at positions 118 to 347 of the family's 1533-position model. The record is from RNAcentral.